GGGCGAUUAACUCAGCGGUAGAGUGCUUCCCUUACAAGGAAGAAGUCACUGGUUCGAUCCCAGUAUCGCCCA
Molecule: transfer RNA, 72 nt
Filed under: Planctomycetota bacterium
Lineage: Bacteria; Pseudomonadati; Planctomycetota
Description: Planctomycetes bacterium (sediment metagenome) tRNA-Val
Rfam family: tRNA
About the family: Transfer RNA (tRNA) molecules are approximately 80 nucleotides in length.
Source: RNAcentral